UGCCAGGUGGGCGACGGUGACCCACCCUCGGUUCUGACCCGAGGUCCCGCAGGUUCGAGUCCUGCCCUGGCAG
RNAcentral lists this transfer RNA (73 nucleotides) under Kribbella flavida DSM 17836. RNAcentral's name for it is "tRNA-Gln (CTG) (tRNA-Gln-CTG-2-1)". It matches the Rfam family "tRNA". Rfam says of the family: Transfer RNA (tRNA) molecules are approximately 80 nucleotides in length. Their secondary structure includes four short double-helical elements and three loops (D, anti-codon, and T loops). Further hydrogen bonds mediate the characteristic L-shaped molecular structure. tRNAs have two regions of fundamental functional importance: the anti-codon, which is responsible for specific mRNA codon recognition, and the 3' end, to which the tRNAs corresponding amino acid is attached (by aminoacyl-tRNA synthetases). tRNAs cope with the degeneracy of the genetic code in two manners: having more than one tRNA (with a specific anti-codon) for a particular amino acid; and 'wobble' base-pairing, i.e. permitting non-standard base-pairing at the 3rd anti-codon position. The record is from RNAcentral. Lineage: Bacteria; Bacillati; Actinomycetota; Actinomycetes; Propionibacteriales; Kribbellaceae.